This 436-nucleotide ribosomal RNA is filed under the name Anelosimus amelie. RNAcentral's name for it is "partial 16S ribosomal RNA". The record is from RNAcentral. Lineage: Eukaryota; Metazoa; Arthropoda; Arachnida; Araneae; Theridiidae.
UACCCUGGCUCAAUGACAAAUACAUUCCGUUAUAAGAUUCAAUAGCCGCAAAAUAGUGCUAAGGUAGCAUAAUCAUUUGUUUCCUAAUUAGAAACUAGAAUGAAAGGUUUAACAUUUUAAUUAUUUUAUUAAUUAUUUGUAUAAAUUUAUACUAAACAUAAAAAUAUGUUUAUGACCUAAAAAGACGAUAAGACCCUAUUAAAUUUUACUUAAUGUUUAACUGGGGCAGUUAUUUAAUUAAUACUUUAAAUACAUAAAAAUAAAUACCUAAUAUAAAUAUACUGUAAUCAAAUUACUAUAGGGAUAACAGCAUUAUAUUAUUUAAAAGUUCAUAUUUAUAGUAAUGAUUGUGACCUCGAUGUUGAAUUAUAUUUCUAUUACUAACGCAACAGUUAAAUAAGUAGGUCUGUUCGACCUUUAAAAUAUUACAUGAUCU